GGAGGCAUUUGCCACAUCAACAGAGCACAGCCGUGCAACUCAGUGUGCUGCUGGUAGGUGGCAUCGUGGCUACCUUCUGGAUAUCCAGCCACACCUGCCCCGAUGAGUGGCAGCCUCUUAUAACUGUUUUGGGUUGGCCCAAACCAGUGGUUCACAAGCCUGGCUAUACAUUAGAAUCUCCUGGGAAGGAUCUCUGAUGCCCAGAAACUCCAAUAGCAACUGGAUGGCAAUCCCUGGAGUGUGGGGUGACGCUCACGUGCAGUGGCAUCGACAGUCGCUGGUACAAACCAUCAGAGGACCCUCAUCCCUUUGCCACAAUGAUUGGUUCACAGAUGGGUAGUGGCCUGAGGCCCAAGCCAGUCAGCAUCUGAUGAGGUAUUAACAUUUGGAACAAUGGGGCUGAGUCAGAACUUCGUAUCAGGUGCAACAUCAAGUCUAUUCAUUUAUUUUAUUUUUGUUGGAGCACAGAGGGUGUUGUAGCAAAGGGAAGAAGAACACAGAUGGCAUGUUUUGCAAUAUUUGGGUAUCUUUGCAAUGGGCUCCUCCAAAAAUCAUUAAUUAUUUCAUCUUGGAGAGCUCACCUUCCAGUUUUUCAGGAUCCGGAGGCUGAAAUUAUUCAUCUUCACUCUGAACUGUUCAACUAUUUGUUUGUUCAAGUCCGUAAGAUCGGCUUUUUGUUAAAACUGCCUUCUCUCGGAUACAUCGAUGAGAAAAGGACACACCCUCUACCCAUUGGGCAUUUGAGCACAGAGUUACAAUGCAGAUUCUCUUGGCAAGCCUCCAAUUGCGUUUUCUGGAACUUCUCUUUCCAACCAUUCAUACAGGCUUUUCCAGAUCACAGAUGAAAACCUCUUACUUCCUUUGUCACUCCCAUAGACUAAAGCUCCUUCUUUGUGAAGAUGACUCAAGGAGGGAGAGGAGGAGAAGCCACAGCCCAUCAAUGUCUCUGGGCAUCACACCCUACUUGGCUGGGCAUUUCUGAUAGGCACAGCCCUCUGGUAGCGGAAAGAGAUCGCUAGGCUAGGCUCGUACUCAGAAGUGAAGAGUGCAAAAUAACUGGAAAGAAGGUGACCCAAGCCUUCCUUCUGAUGUUAGCUUCUUAUGACCCGGAGAAGAAAGAAAGCGUGCUUGUCACAAACGCUGUCGCUAGCACAGUGCCUGCCACGUGGUAGACAUGAAUUACCUGCCCGAUGGAUGAAUAUACGGGAAGAGCAAAAGUUCGACAACUGCCAGAUUUGGUUUUAAGUACCUUUAGCGACCCAGACCUGGAAUGCGUAAGUUAUCGUCAAAGGCCAGUAUUCGCAGGGCUGGGCGCUUCCUAGCUGUACUCUGUCUGCCUGUUUGUUGCUCCACUAAGUCACUUGGACGAUAGAAGUGGUGGCCUAGCAAGUGAAAUAGCUUGUGCGAAGGUAGCUUAUACAGCACCUACCGCUCAGAUACUCAGUGAAGGACAACCCAUCACCUUCCAGACGCUCUUGGUUCCAGCUGCUAGCCCACGUGUGUUCGGGCUCCACCUCCUCACCACGUCGUUCUGCCGUCACACUUCAGAUUGGUCCCUCCCUCUCCCCUUUCAGAAGUUGAGCUCCUUGAAGACAGGAACCAAAUCGUACCUUGGUUUCCUCUCUCCUUGGCACAGUGAGUCCUCCCUAUGUGUCGACUGAAGGAAUUAAAACAAGGCUGUGGGGCAUGCUGGCAAAAUCGUAUUUUGAGAUCUUCCUGGUUAAACAAAAUGAUAUAAAGAUCAUCCCGUAGAGAGUUUAAGUCUGAAUUCUGCCUCCGCCUCACGGUCCUCUGGGGAAGGCGCUUAGUAACCAGGGCCCCUUUAGGUCAUCUGUGUAGCAGACAACGUGGUUCUAGGUAGCUUGCAGCUUUAGAAUUCUACGAGUUCAAGCUACUUCUCGUAAAAAAAAUUUAGCCCCUGACUAGAUUUGUUCACAUACUGAACCUGUUUGGAGGCCGCAGUAACUACAGGUGAAAGUGGAAUUUUCUAAAUCACCUCUCCUGCCUCAUUCCGUGCAGAGAAGACUUGGAAUAAAAGAAAAGCUUUCUUUGGAAAGAAAUCAUGACAAAUCCUGAUUUGUCAUGAUCUCUUCCAUCCCUGCAGGAAAGCCACAGGAAAAACAGGUUUUCUCUAUAGAAACACAACUACAACAUACACCUUCAGGAAUGGCCUCACGUUUAAGUGCCUGUGAAUAAAUCAUUUCCUUUGAUUUUGCUCUAACCAAGACCCUCCCACAGCCAUGAGGCCUGUCUUCUUUCAGCCAGAGAAAACUCACAGCUUAAAGGCAGACAGAAGCCCAUUCUACUGUUACCGGCCGUAAGUUUUGUGGUGGCCGGCCUCCAACAUGGCCGCAGUAAUCCCUCCUCGCUGGUCUUCAUGUCUUUGUGUCAGCCUCUCCCACUGUCCCACACUGUACAGAAUUGUCUGUGUGAUCAACAGAAUACAGAGAAGCGAUGAUAUGCCACUUCCCAAACUCAGUUAUAAAAGACUAUGGCUUCAGACCUGGUCUCUUAUUCUCUCUUUCUCUCUCUCGUCCCUUGCCCUAGCGGAAGCCAGUUGCCAUGGGAUGAAGACAUUCAGGCAAACAGUGGAGAGGCCCAUGAUAAGGCAGAAAACUGAAAUCCCUGCUAACAGCUGGUGAGAAAAGGAGCACCUACUUACUGAGAAGAUGCUCAGAAGAGACCAGGGAAAGGGUGAUGGUUCCUAGCUUCUGAACCCUCCUUCCCGCACGACAGAGGAGAAGGAUGCUUUAUGGACACACUUUCCUCACGUGCCUGCAUUCUGUUGCCACCUCCCGAGUUUCAGAGCUGGCCCUUUGUCUCAGAGUACCACUUCCCUUGCAGUUUUCCUAUUGAGGUGAACUGCCCCAUUUUGAGGAUGAUUUGCUACGAUAUUACUGCCACUGCGGUGUGUAAAUAUCACUGGCAGAUUGAGAGCAGAAAUAUUUUUCAAAUAACUGUGCCCAGAUCCUGUCUCUGUAAGGUAACUAUCUCAGACUUCUUAGGUUCACUUCCUUUAUUUCCUAAAUUCUUAUUAUUUUUUUUUGUUGUUGCUUUCUUCUCUUAAGCUAGAUGUUUCUUCAUAACUUCAUGCCACUAUCUUCAUGUUAAAGAUAGAGAAAGGUAUAAAACAUUAACCUUUUAUUCAAGAUUAUCCCAUAGCAUAGAUUUGUACUGUCCUGAUUGAUGAGCUGUGUACCUGGACAAAACACAGUCUAUAUCUGCUUUAUCCGCCACUGCUCCAAGAUAAAAGUGGUCCCAGGGUAAUCAUCACCAACAAUUGCUAAGAAAAAAACGUAUAUUAUUUUGACUCAGGUAACUUUUACAAUAGCCACAACAUUAAAAUAGAAAAGUUAAAUCAAUGACUUAUAAGUAGAUUAAGUGAGUAUUAGAAUACACCUUUGGUAAUUUCUGGUUUUGUAAGGAGAUUUUGUUUCCAUUUGCCUUGUUUUGGAGAGCUUUAGACAAAGUGUACCUUUUUGAUUUAGUUAUUAGAACAGCUGAUGCAAUUUAAAACACAUUAAAAUACAGUUUUGAUUUAUUUUUUGGUUGCCGUGAUCAUGGAUUACGUUGUAAAAUCUCUCUCCUGUGUUUUAGGAUACUAAUAUUCUACUCUCCUUAUAGAAAUUUAUAGCUUACAUUAAUGAAUUAAUAGGUAAUGAAUAUAGUUUCAACCACAGGUCCCCAGAUACUGUUGAAAGUGCAUCCCAGUAAUUAAGGAAAUAUGAGUGGGUACCCCCAACUAUGCAUGUUUAUUUAUAAAGUAUACACAUGUACUGCUUCAGGCAAUCAAUAUCGCUAGGGCUUAGUUUCCUUUUUAUGUUUUAGGUUAAGAAAUAUCAGUUAUAUUUCUCUUCCUAUCACCCCAAAGGGUUAUUUUCGGCAUAUGCCAUUUUGAAGAUGACUAACAUGAAACAUUAUAGACUUGCUACUUUCAAGUGGAGAUUUCCCCCCCUUUAUUUAACAUUUUCUUUACCAUUCAUGUACUUAUGUUACAUAUAUAGUGUUUUAACUGUGAUUUCUGGUGUUAAUGUAGUUUUAUUGCAAUGUAAAUGCAAACGAGGACCCCGGCGUUAAGACCAAAGUGUAAUCCAGUCCUAUGAUCUGAAGCACAGUGAUGCAACUCGUAUCAUCAGAAUGUUUAUUUCUAUAAGAUCCAGAACUAAAGGCUGUGUGUGGGUUUCUGGUCUCUGAAGUAUCUUACGAAAAAUAAACCCACUGGAAAAUAAAGAUGAAAGUUCCAUCACAGAGGCAUGAGAACCCGGAGUCUUCUUUCCGGGUGAUAAACAGGACAGCAUCCCAGUGAAAUAGUUACACUUAUUGAGAGUUUCUGGGAGCAGAAAUCAAUGCUGUUGCUUACAGGGCAGGUGCAGUGCAAAUAAAGCCCCUCAGUUCUGUCCCGGGCUCAGAAAGGCAUGAGAUCAUGCAGUUCACACAGGCUGCCAGAAAGCUGCAGCUCGACCCAUCUGGAGGCCACUGUCACGAUAAAGUCCCCAAAGGAGCGGGUGCCUGGCUCUUCUGCCUUGCCUCCUCUGCUCACAACUUCCUUCCUCAGCACAGGCCGGGGAAGAGCAGACAUCCUCUUUUUCAGGGCCACUGGCUGUUUCAAGACUCGGAUAAUGGGGAAAGUGCCAGUUGUACCAACUGGACGGUCAGUGUUAACUGUUGUCAUGCUCUAAUGAUUUGUAGUCAAAGUUGGGGUAACUUGAUCCACAAAUGAAAACCUGUAUGUCUGAUGUGCACCGAUGAAGAGGGCAAGCUAAGUCAAGACUUUGCACCCAAUUAUGACUUAAAUACUAAGGAUAAGCCAAGUAAUGACUUAAAUCGUGAGUUCUUUAACAUGUUGCCUGGAAUAUUUUGUUAAUCCUUAAUUUGCUACAAACCAUAAAUAUUGCCUUAAUUUGUGCAUGUAUUUGGUUUCUGAUUGUAUUUAUUUACUUUUUAAUUUUUUUUUAACGUUUAUUCAUUUUAGAGAGACAGAAAGUGAGCAGGGGAGAAGCAGAGAGAGA
Herpailurus yagouaroundi (jaguarundi) is the source of this 5009-nucleotide long non-coding RNA. RefSeq lists it as uncharacterized. The transcript is spliced from 12 exons. The record is from RefSeq and is a predicted model, not a curated record. Lineage: Eukaryota; Metazoa; Chordata; Mammalia; Carnivora; Felidae.